AAUAAUUUUUGUGCCAGCAUUUGCGGUUAAACAAAUUAUUUAAAAUGAUUUAUAUUUUUUUUUAUAAUUAAUGUAUUUUUAUUUGGUGAAAUAUUUAAAAUAUUAUUAUUUAAAAUAUUUUUAAACUAGGAUUAGAUACCCUAUUAUUUAAUUUUAAUAAAAUUAUUAGUAAAUUUUUAAAAUUUGAAAAUUAAAUAAUUUGGCAGUAUUUUUUAAAAUUAGAGGAUUUUGUUAUAUAAUAGAUAAUACACUAUAAAAUAAAUUUAAUUUAAUUAAAUUAUAUAUAAUUGAUUUAAGUUUAUUUUUAAAUAAAUUAAUUAAUUUUAUUUAUUUUUAUUUAUAAUAUAAGUCAAAUCAUCAUGUAUUUUAUAAUUAAAAUUUAAAUGAAAUACAUUUUUUAAAAAAAUUAUGAAUUUAAAUUUGUAAAAAUUUAAUGAAAUUGGAUUUAAAAGUAAAAUUUUAAAUUAAUAAAUAUUAUUUUUGAAUUUUAUAAAAAUAUGUACAAAUUGCCCGUCGUUUUUAAAUAAUAAUUAAAAUAAGUCGAAACAAAGUUAAUAUAUUGGAAAAUAUAUUUU
Molecule: ribosomal RNA, 575 nt
Filed under: Diptera sp. 53 LC-2017
Lineage: Eukaryota; Metazoa; Arthropoda; Insecta; Diptera
Description: 12S ribosomal RNA
Source: RNAcentral